ACUCCACAGUCAGCCCUUGGUUGUUCAGACCUCCUGUUCCUCAUGGUGCUUCUGGUUUGAUGGCCUGAAACACCCCUGAGCGUCCUUGAGUUUUGGGUGGGCAUGAAUUCAGAAUCUAGCUUGAUCUCCCUUUGAUGUCCUGGCUUUGCAGUCAUAAGAAAUCUAGUAGGUCCCCACCCUGACACACACACACACAACACACACACGGACACACACGUCUGCCUCCUUUAGUGAGUGCUUUGGAGAGGGACAGGUCUGGUGCAUCUGUGUACUCCUGACUCAUGUAGUUAUGUCCCACUUUAUCCAAGCACUGUCUGGAGCUCAACCCUAUGCCAGGAGAUAUGGGAAGAGAGCAGAGAUAGGUGAGAUGUGGUGCUUUAAUUUUAAAAAUUAAAAAUUAGUAAACAAGUCUUCUGGGAGAUGAUCUCUGAUUAUUAUUGUUAUCAAGGUACAAAAUAUGUACCUUUUAGUCAUGUCUCUGUUGGUUCUAAGUGGCAGAAACCCAAAUCAAACUAGCUUAUGCAAAAUUGAGAGGGAAUUAUGUGGCUCAUAUCACUCAAAAGUGUAGGGUGGGCUUCAGGCAUGGUUGGACCCAGGGGCUCAAAUGAUGUUUCUGGGACUUGAUUCUGCACUCUAUCGCUCAGCUAUGUAGAUGAACAGCCCACCUGGGGCUGCUGCAAUGUGAGAUGCCACUGACUGUUGCUAAGGUAUCUCGUGGAGCCUCGCUCCUGAUUUCCAAAUCCUGGCCUUGUCACCUCCACGACUCAGACCUGGGCUGUCACAUGAGACUGAACUCUCCAGAGCUGUAUCUCCAGCUCCAACCCAGAGGCCUCCUUUCCUUGCCAGAACACUGGGCAGAUACAACAGGGAUCAUCCAUGAAGAUGGCUUCUCCGGAGAAGAUGUGAAACAGUACAAGCCUGUUGUCUACAGCAACACCAUCCAGUCCCUGGCAGCCAUCGUCCGGGCCAUGGACACUUUGGGCAUCGAAUAUGGUGAUAAGGAGAGAAAGGCUGACGCCAAGAUGGUGUGUGACGUGGUGAGUCGGAUGGAAGACACCGAGCCCUUCUCUGCAGAGCUGCUUUCUGCCAUGAUGCGGCUCUGGGGCGACUCAGGAAUCCAAGAGUGCUUCAACCGGUCCCGGGAGUAUCAGCUCAACGACUCUGCCAAAUACUACCUGGACAGCCUGGAUCGGAUUGGGGCCGCCGACUACCAGCCCACCGAGCAGGACAUCCUCCGAACCAGGGUCAAAACCACUGGCAUCGUAGAAACCCACUUCACAUUCAAGAACCUCCACUUCAGGCUGUUUGACGUCGGAGGCCAGCGAUCUGAACGCAAGAAGUGGAUCCAUUGCUUCGAGGACGUCACGGCCAUCAUUUUCUGUGUCGCACUCAGCGGCUAUGACCAGGUGCUCCACGAAGACGAAACCACGAACCGCAUGCACGAGUCUCUCAUGCUCUUCGACUCCAUCUGUAACAACAAGUUCUUCAUCGAUACCUCCAUCAUUCUCUUCCUCAACAAGAAAGAUCUCUUUGGCGAGAAGAUCAAGAAGUCACCUUUGACCAUCUGCUUUCCUGAAUACACAGGCCCCAAUACCUAUGAAGACGCAGCCGCCUACAUCCAAGCACAAUUUGAAAGCAAAAACCGCUCACCCAACAAA
This 1658-nucleotide small RNA is filed under the name Pongo abelii (Sumatran orangutan). RNAcentral's name for it is "processed transcript". Lineage: Eukaryota; Metazoa; Chordata; Mammalia; Primates; Hominidae. The record is from RNAcentral.